Long non-coding RNA from Carassius gibelio (silver crucian carp), 748 nucleotides. RefSeq lists it as uncharacterized. The record is from RefSeq and is a predicted model, not a curated record. Lineage: Eukaryota; Metazoa; Chordata; Actinopteri; Cypriniformes; Cyprinidae. The transcript is spliced from 3 exons.
AAAAAAAAAAAGUUUAACUUACCAGUCAGACUCCUGAAGCACAAACAGAACAAGAGAAACUUGUGAACCAUUUUCUUCAGUGGUUCAGUGUGUGAGAAGAACUGUUAAAGUGUUGUGUGAAUCCUCCCCUGACUAUGUUCGACCCUCCUAGUUCACAUCCUGCAUUUGCACAUGAUAUAAUGUUAUAGUUAAUCUAACCCUUAUUAAGAUUUUUACUGGUUUUUAUGGAUACAAAUAUUCUUCAUUUUUAUCAAAAAGUAAAGGGUUCAUAUUAGAAGGGUUCAUGCCACAGUGACAGAUUUUGUCUUCCCUUAUCUGACUGUAAAAUGACUAAAAGUAGAAGAAUAUUGUGUGUGAAUUAUAACUGAACUACAUUUCAUGGUGAACACAAGGAUUUUAAAAUUAUGUCAAUUUAUUCUAAAUUUAAGUGAAUUGAAAAACCAGAAUACAAAUUUAUAAUAAUGUUCUGAUCCCAAAGUACUGGAUUUACCAAGCUUUAUCUUCUGAGUCAAGAAGAAACCAUGCAGCGGUUAGUUUUCAGUCUCCAGACAUAAGUCAGUGACCCUGGGCAUUCAGAGACAACUUUCUGUUGCUGUGAUUUACUAUCACAAGAAAGUAGCUACCGAUCUGCAUGAGAAUAAAACCCCAACAUACAGUGCAACAUAUUUAACCACUAAUCAGAACUGAAUUGAUAUUAAAAUCAAACGAUGGAGUGCUGCUAAUGAGAUUUCUCAUAGUUAGACUGAGA